This 1510-nucleotide long non-coding RNA is filed under the name Equus caballus (horse). RNAcentral's name for it is "lncRNA (ENSECAG00000053998.1)". Lineage: Eukaryota; Metazoa; Chordata; Mammalia; Perissodactyla; Equidae. The record is from RNAcentral.
GGGAGAUAGGCAGGGGCAGGUCUCAGGGGACUGUGGUGGGUACUCAUGGGGGCGUUAAUUUGGGGAGCAAUGGGCUCAUUUAGGAAGACCACUGGGCAGCCCCUGCUGUGGAAGCUAGAUUGGGGCAGAGAGAGAGCGUUGACGAGGAGUCCAGAAAAUUACUUUUUGCUGGUCUCCGGGAGAAGGAUGAAGGAUCUAAUCAAGAGCAGUGGCACUUCUCAUGAGAGCGAGACUGGAUCUGAAGGACAUCUAGGGAAGCUACAGAGGUCGUAGACCGGGAAGCCACCAAGAGCCACAGCAGGCACCCUGUCUGUGCGUCUUGCUCUCUCUGGAGCCCGAGGGUCAUUCAUCUUUGCACUUCUCUGGGACUGAGCUUCGUUUUUCAAUCUCCCUCUCUGGUUCGGUUUUAUCCUUUUGACACACGGCGUCAGAUGGCUGCCCCACAGUUUCCAGCUUCCCUGCAGUGUGACUUACGAAUUAGACGCGUUCCUGGGAGGAGAACGUGAUUGGCUCAGCUCAAGUCACGUGCUCGCCACUACCCAGUCAACUGUAACCAGGAAGGUGCAGUCACGUCCAGCAAUUAACGCUGCGGUGCUCGAUCAUCCAGGGUAUCCAGGAAAGGACUCACCAUCCUCCAGAAGGGUCUGCUGUUCCCCGCCUCAGCGUUCUCUUCUGGAAGGUGGGAUGACAAUUCCUACCUACCGCGAAGAUGAAAGGAGCUAACCCGUGGAAGUUCAUUGUCAACCGUAUAGCACCACAUAUAAAUUCUUCUGUACCCUCUUCUUCUCUGGGACCUGAGGCCCAUGCUUUCUCUCUUUGCCACCCCUUGCCGAGGGAGAUAUCCUGCGGCUGGAAGAAGAGGAGGGGCUGGAUGCUGACCUUCCAGGUUAGGAUCCGUAUUAGGCUGUGUUUUGACUGGGAGGGAGGGGACAUACGUCUGAGCUGGCUGGGCUGGUCAUGGCUCUGCUUGGGUAAGUGUGAGCUCUGUCUCUGUUCUAGAAGCUCUAGAAGCAGAUAACAGGGUCAACAAUGAGGGCAUGAGUCGAGGAAGACCAGAAAGCCAAAGUCCGAAGGUGAUGCCAGGCUCAGGAGCCAUAGAAGUGUCUGGAUUCUGGGAACAAAGAACCAAGGAUCAAGCUCAGGGAAGUACAAGCGACUUCUGAAUGAUUAGUAUGCUGCUGAAACCAAAUCCUACUGGGGCCUUAAUCAAAGAAAUUAAGGUUCUCCCCCCAAAUCAUGUAACCUGUAAUUGAGGGGAGAAUGGAUCAAAAUCCACCCGGUCGGAGUCCAAAGCUACCACACCUCGUUGUCUCCUAGGUGUCGUUGGGAAAGGCUUUCCACUGACUCUGGAUGGCUCUUCCUGUGCAGGGAGUUCAAUUAGUGUAACUCCAGGUCCCUUUCACCCAGUUUAUUCUUGCUACCCUGGGAGAUGUAAUGACCUUAUCUUACCAAUUGGUAAAUUGAGGGAGAAUAAUGGGGCCUGCUGGUGUGGUCCCUGCUCUCUCUCGGG